UCUGCCAGGGAACUACGAGCCAUAGCUUAAAACCCAAAGGACUUGGCGGUGCUUUAGACCCCCCUAGAGGAGCCUGUUCUAGAACCGAUAACCCCCGUUGAACCUCACCCUCUCUUGUAUGUCCCGCCUAUAUACCGCCGUCGUCAGCUUACCCUGUGAAGGACCCUUAGUAAGCAUAAUUGGUAUUACCCAAAACGUCAGGUCGAGGUGUAGCCAACGAGAGGGGAAGAAAUGGGCUACAUUCACUGCCCCAGUGAAUACGGAUGAUGCACUGAAACAAACAUCUAAAGGAGGAUUUAGCAGUAAGAAGGGAAUUAGAGCAUCCCCCUGAAACUGGCCCUGAAGCGCGCACACACCGCCCGUCACUCUCCCCAACCUAAAAUUAAUAAUAAAUAAAUAACUAUAAAGACAAAGGGGAGGCAAGUCGUAACAUGGUAAGUGUACCGGAAGGUGCACUUGGAAAAA
RNAcentral lists this ribosomal RNA (465 nucleotides) under Trypauchen sp. NMBE 1066403. RNAcentral's name for it is "partial 12S ribosomal RNA". It matches the Rfam family "Bacterial small subunit ribosomal RNA", at positions 868 to 1533 of the family's 1533-position model. Lineage: Eukaryota; Metazoa; Chordata; Actinopteri; Gobiiformes; Gobiidae. The record is from RNAcentral.